Long non-coding RNA from Brachypodium distachyon (stiff brome), 3549 nucleotides. RefSeq lists it as uncharacterized. The transcript has 2 exons. Lineage: Eukaryota; Viridiplantae; Streptophyta; Magnoliopsida; Poales; Poaceae. The record is from RefSeq and is a predicted model, not a curated record.
UGGAUACGUGUGGUGGUCCUCCGUCAUGAAGAAGUGCCCCAAAAAGUAGCAUGGCUUCAAGUGCAAACAGACUAUGCACAGAUCCAUGACAUCAAAAUGAAGAUACAUUAUGUGCAAGGCCUGGAGAGCACUAAAAUUCUUCCUUCAAACAUGUAUAAUAUAAUUCAUGCAUGGCUUGGGGACUUUCACAGAAGCUCACAUAAGUUGAACUUGUGGACGUGGACGUUGGUGAUGAGGACGUGGAAUGGCUGGCGAGUGACAUGUCUCUGCAGGUAGUUGACAACAAGUUCUCGGAUUCGCGAACAGGAACCGGUAUCUGUCAACAGGUUGGCAAGGAGAAGCAAUGUUGUCAUCCCUCAAAGGCUAUAAAGUCUUGCUUGAUUUGUUGUUGGAUUGAUCGGUGUGGGCUAGAAAGAGGACAGUGUUUCAUGCAAUUGCUAGCUUAUUCAUGCAUAUGGAUCAUAUUUAUGUUUGCUUUUAUAUGAGGUCCUACGGUGCCUAGAUGUGUGGUUUAAUUGUGCCGCUACGUAAUUUUGAUACUUCAGUCAACCUAUGCUUGUUAUGGAGUGCUCCAUCACGAGAUAAAAAGCAAGAAGUGUCAUGUGGCUUAUCCAUACAUAUUCUUCUUCUUUUUUUAUUUCCCUUUCCGUGGCCUUUGUAGUGCCUAAAUGCCUAAAUGGCUGCAACAAAGUGUAAUUGCUAUGUCGAGGUACAUUGUAUGCAUGAUCAACCUUGUUUACGAGUGCUCGAUCAUGAGAUGAAAAUGAACCCAAAUUACAUAAGCCGGCACAACUAAAACCACUCAUUUAGAGCAUUUCCAACGGCAUAUCCAUAUUUGCCCAGAAUACCCAAAAACUGCCAAUUUAGGUGCUUUGCCUCAAAAACAAGCUCCAACAGCAUUACCCAUAUUUGCCGGAUACCCAAAUUUUUUUUGAUAGUUACCCAUAUUUUAGCCCCCAAUACCUAAAUAUGGGUAUUCCCACAUCUAGAACAUGGGUAGCUACCCGUAUCCACGCGGGAAGCCAACCGCCAAGAAACGGAAAUUUCAGCCCCUCACUCCUCCACCGACGAGCUGCCGUCGACCCUGAUGCCGGCCACUGCUGCCGCCAUGGUGCUCGCCGGCGCCGUCCCAGCAUUCCUCGGAGUCGCUCCUGAAGUGUUCGCCACUCCCGCGACGUCCGCCGCCCCCGUGGUGAAGCCGACGAUGGCCGGCCCCUGAUCCGCCCCGGCAGCUCCCCUCCCUCGCCCCUUCCGGCCGUCGAAGGCUCCGGCAGCCUUCCCAAACCUUUUGCCGCACCGCGCCGCCAUCCAGCUCUGCCUCGCACCGCGUCGCCACCGCCAGCCCGCGCCCCUCCGCGAGAUCUGCCGCGCGCCCCGCCGUGAGCCGCGUCGAGCCGCCGCCUGUGCGCUCUCCUCCCCGCGUCGUAUCGUCCUUCUCGAGCAGGACUGCUCCGGCCGCCACCUGCGCUAUCCUCCCCGCGUCGCGUUGUCCUCGACGAGGAGGCAUGCUCUGGCCGCCGCCUGCGCUCUCCUCCUUGCACACUGCUAUGCCCCGCACGUCGCCGGAGGAGCCAUGCCGGGCCAGGGCGUCGUCCGCGCCCGACAAGGUCCAGCCAUGCCGGCUCCUGCCCUAUUUGGGGAUCGAUUUGGGAUUGUGAUUUGGGGAAGAAGAAGGUUGACUCAAUGACAGGUGGGGGCCGCUAUGAAUUGGUAGAUUUGGGUACCCGGUUUUGGGUUUGCCGGAAAAGUUGGAGCCAAUUUGAAUUUGGGUAUCCAAAAUAUGGGUAUGCUGCUGGAGAUGCUCUUAGGCACCGUAACCGUAAGAGCAGUAGAAUAGAAAACGAAAAUAGGAUGCGCAUCCUUGAAUAAGCUAGCAAUAACUGAAACAUCAUCCUUUUCCUAUAAAAGGAAGACCAACCCAAGCCUACCACACCGAUCAAUCCAACAACAGAUCAAGCAAAUAUUUCUAUUCCUUGAGGGAUGAUGAAAUCGAUUCUCCUUGCUAGCUUGCCGGUAGGAUUCCGGUUCCAACCCACGGACCGAGGAACUCACCAUCAACUAACUGUUGAGACGCGCCACUGGCCAGUUGUACCAAGUCCACAUCGCCAAUGUCAACAUUCACAAAUUCAACCCAUGCAAGCUACCACCCAUGGUGUUAUUUCGGGAUCAUGAGUGCUACUUCUUCAUGCGAGGAACCACCACAAGUAUCCCAAAAGUCUACGCCCCACCCAGUGGGCGGUUUACGGCUUUUGGGAGGUCACCGACAAGGACAAGCUCGUCUAUCUGCCAAGAACCAUGGAGAUGGGAUCGUGAACCUUCAUCCCAUUGUCGUCAAUUGGUGCUUGUCUUCUACCUUGGUCGCUCGCCUACUGGGAGAAAGACUCCAUGGAUGAUGCACGAGUAAUGCCUCCUGGAUCCCAUUCCCUCUAUUGGCAUGCCCAUCGAAUGGGCUUGUGCAAGAUCUUUAGGGAGACGGAAAUGAUGGUCACACCCCCGCCGCUCGGGCCAAGGUCAACAAAAAUCUAAUAGCUACAAGAGGGCCUACAAGACAUAACAAUGUAUGAUGCCUCGGACAUGAUGUACUCUAACACACUCCUCGUCAUCACGAAUAUGAUGUCUAACAAUAACUGGUAUCUCUACAACUAACAGAUGUGAGUCAACGACGACAUCGGAGCAAUCUCUGAAGUCAUUAUUGGUGGUGUUUACACUAUUGCUUGAUUGUGUUAGUUUGCUUGUGUUAUCCAUAUCAUGUAAUUUAAGGUUGAAAUUUAUUUGGUUGCCUCAAAUUUAAAUUUUCCUAUUUAUGUACUUUUCCAUCUAAAUAUCUCACUACAACGAAGGCAACCUCCUCGGUGGCAUGGAAGGGCAGCAGAGGAGCCAACGGCAAGGAGGUUUCUUUUCUUUCUUUUUUUCCUUUUUGUUUAUGUCCAUGACGCCAACAUGCUAGUUCACGAUCCUAAGAGAGGGAUUAUGAUUUCUUACCUUCCAUGUGUUUUGAUUGAGAAGUUGGAUUUUUUCAAUUUUUUGGAGUUUCAUGAUUACACAGAUUUAAUGGUUGUCAUUAGUUUUAAGAGGAUCCACCGAAUUAAUGGUGAUUAUACAACUUGCACUCCCUCGCAAUCCUAGACAUGGAUUCCAGAUCCAGCGAUCAAAAUAAUUUGGGACAGACUGGAUUAUCAACAUGGUGGCUCGAAUCGAAGGGAACCCUCGAAUUGUGCUUUUGGUAUGUAAUAGAAUAGACUUGGACAAAGAAGCACGUAGCAAGUAGAUAGCAUGCUUUAAACUUGGAGAAACAUUCAAACUUGUACAGUAGAAGAUAAGAUGCUGUAAAUAAAAGCACAGAGGUAACUUUUGGAGGAAAGGAUGGGCAUCCCCAAUGAAGAUCCAUAUAGCACAUCCACUUUGUCAAACAGUCAAAUUACAAUUAAUUCAAGAGUAGUCUAUGAUCAUACAGAAUCAGAAAACGUACAUUGUUCUUAAAUUUAACCAGGAGGCCAUUUCAUCUGCCUUCCGCCGAGUACAUGCACGUGCAGAUGAUAGACCGAUUGA